Molecule: ribosomal RNA, 139 nt
Filed under: uncultured eukaryote
Lineage: Eukaryota
Description: partial 18S ribosomal RNA
Rfam family: Eukaryotic small subunit ribosomal RNA
Source: RNAcentral
UGGUGGGUUGCCUUGUCAGGUUGAUUCCGGUAACGAACGAGACCUCAGCCUGCUAAAUAGUCACGUUCGCUUUUUGCGGAUGGUUGACUUCUUAGAGGGACUAUUGGCGUUUAGUCAAUGGAAGUAUGAGGCAAUAACA